RNAcentral lists this long non-coding RNA (2991 nucleotides) under Paramuricea clavata. The record is from RNAcentral. Lineage: Eukaryota; Metazoa; Cnidaria; Anthozoa; Malacalcyonacea; Plexauridae.
UAUACGAGUGUGAAAGAGGAGAUUCUGUGGAUUAUUUUGAUCCCAAUUAUUGCCAUGGUUACUUUAUUAUUAUUCUAGUUUGCUGGGCUUCUUCCGGGCAUUCGCGCUAAUUACGAAGUUUCAAAGGAAGUCGCUAAAAUACACAAAUUUCGGCUAGUUAUAUCUUUUUUGUUUAUGCUCUGAUUUUUUUCGUUAUUGUGUGAUUUGAAAGAUAAAGUGUCCAUUUACAAUCGUAUGUUUUUUGUUUUUUGAUAAUUGUGCAACGAAAUUGUAAAAAUGCCGUGGAAAAGAGCAACACAAUACAAGCGCUUCGUAUGUCGGGAGCGUAUGCGACAGCAAAGGUUAAGCUCUAUAGCCAUAGAUAACAAGACGAAGCAGGUUAGAGCAACGGCUAAGAAGUUAAAAAGAUUGGAUAAAAGGGUAAGAUGAGCCUUUUAAUUGUUUUGGUAGUUUAUUUAGUACAAAAUUUUAACAAAUCGAUGCCUCUAGGUAUAGUCAAAUCAUAGUAUUUAGGCCAAAUAAAAAAAAAUACUUGGUUAGCGUCACCGCCCGCCUCUCAAUUUCUGCCGCCUCUGAAUUUUUUUUUUUUUUUUUUUAUGCAAAUUUCUUCGUUUUACAGCUUAAAACAGUUUAAUAUUUGAAAUUUUUCUCAUGUUCAGACGUCCGCGCUAUAUACUGAUCGAAGGAGCGCCUUGGCACAGAAUACUACACAGAAGUCCAUCUUCAUUGUUUUUUGCGUAAGCUCUAUUCGUCAUGAUUCGUCACUCAGCAAGUACCGUAAACAGAAGCAGUCACCCCCCUGAACAUGCUCCAUUUUAAGUAUUUCCAGGGGGGUGACUGCUUCUGUUUACGGUACUUGCUGAGUGACGAAUCAUGACGAAUAGCGCUUACGCAAAAAAACAAUGGAGAUGGACUUCUGUGUAGUAUUCUGUGGCGUUGGCUUGGGUAUACAAGGUUCUUACAGCAAAAUGGCGGCCUUCGCAACAUCAGUACAAAAAAUUUCACCGAUAUGGUGGGAAAACAGCCUCCAUCCCCCCAAAAAAUACUAUUAAAAAAUUAAAAAACGAGUAAAAAUUAAAAAAAAAAGCGCCCGCCCGCCUCUGAAAAUAAUUGAGAGUGUGACGCUAACCAAGUAUUUUUUUUUAUUUGGCCUUAUACAUAUUUUUUCAACAUGAUCGAUCGGCUCAGUUGCUAGGUUAAUGUUUACUUAGCCACUUGGACAGUGAGUCAAAGAUCCAUUCGUUGAAUGUAUUUAUUUAUGUUUAUUGUUUUAUACUGCAUGAAUAAUCUUUCAAAAGCAUUUUUGAUAAUAAUACCCAACAUUUUUACCUUGACAAGUAAAGACAGUAAAUUUGUCUGACAAUUCAAUAUUUGAUUGUUUCACCUAAUGACCAUUCAUUUUAUAUACCCCCCCCCCCCCCCCCCNNNNNNNNNNNNNNNNNNNNUAACGAAAUUUGUCAGGGGGUAACCUGUAAAUACACCCUUUCGAUGAUUACAAAACACAUACUUUUUGCUCUUGGAGACCCAGAUCAUGAUUCAUGAGUGCAAGGCUCCCAGGCCAAAUGACGUAAUUACUGAAAGGGUGUAUUAUUAAAUUUUUGGAUAAAAUUCAUCCGAAGGGUUGUCUAAAUAGGAAGUAAUUCUGAGUAGCAUGGUAUUGGAGAUGAGGUUUUCCGAGGGAUUGCCUCAAUUUUAACAAAAUUCUUCAGGGUAACUUGUAAAUACACCCUUUCGAUUAUUACGUCACACAUACUUUUUGCUCUUGGAGCCCCAGAUCAUGAUUCAUGAGUGCAAGGCACCCAGGCGAAAUGAUGUAAUCAUUGAAAGGAUGUAUUAUCAAAUUUUUUGAUAAAAAUUUAUCCGAAGGGUUGUUUAAAAUAGGAAAUAAUUCUGAACAGCAUGCUAAUGGGGAUGAGGUUUUCUGAGGAAUUGCCUAAAUUGUAACCAAAUUCUUCAGGGUAACCUGUAAAUACACCCUUUCGAUUAUUACGUCACACAUACUUUUUGCUCUUGGAGUCCCAGCUCACAAUUCAUGAGUGCAAGGCUCCCAGGUCAAAUGAUGCAUUUAUUGAAAAGAUGUAUUAUCAAAUUUUUUGAUAAAAAUUUAUCCAAAGGGUUGUCUAAAAUAGGAAAUAAUUUUGAACAGCAUGCUAUUGGGGAUGAGGUUUUCUGAGGGAUUGCCUGAAUUUUAACCAAAUUCUUAAGGGUAACCUGUAAAUACACCCUUUCGAUAUUUACGUCACACAUACUUUUUGCUCUUGGAGCCGUGGGUCUCGAUUUAUGAGUGCAAGGCUCCCAGGCCAAAUGACGUAAUCAUUGAAAGGGUGUAUUAAAAUUUUGGAUAAAAAUUUAUCCGAAGGGUUGUCUAAUAUAGGAAAUAAUUCUAAACAGCAUGAUAUCGAGAUGAGGUUUUCUGAGGGAUCCCUGAAUUCUUAGGGUUUUUGCACCAGGACAACAAAUUUAUGGUGAUUUGUGCGGCUGACAGGGAGACGGAGUGAUGGGGUUGGGCAUUGGGUUUAUAAUUAUUGUAGAAUAUGUAUAAUUAUUGUUUAUAAUUAUUGCAUGUUUUUGCAGGAAUAUACCCGGGAAUGCAAGAAUGAUUUGGCUGUUCAGAUAUCAAACUACAAUCAUCAAAUAAUGCAAUGUCAGCAUUUUAUUGUUCUCAAUGUGAAAAAUAUUAAUAGAAAUAAAAUAUACACAGGCUAGUAUCCUGAUAGAUAGAACAUUGUAUUAUUAUAAGGUGUCGCAUACACUAGUACUGAUGCUACUUUGAGUGUGUUCACACCGGGCAAGCAGAAGAGUUUGCUUGACAGCGGUGGGAAUAGAACCCGCGACCUUUGGUUUGCUAGUCCAAUGCUCUACCAACUGGGCCAUACAUGCAAGGGGUCAAGUCGGUAAGAAAACCAAAAGUCGUGGGUUCGAUUCCCACUGCGAUUAAGCAAGAGGAGCAUCAUAAACAAACAGUGAUCUACAUAUUUAUCUAUAUCCCAC